Molecule: unclassified non-coding RNA, 256 nt
Filed under: uncultured Mortierella
Lineage: Eukaryota; Fungi; Mortierellomycota; Mortierellomycetes; Mortierellales; Mortierellaceae
Description: sequence contains ITS2
Source: RNAcentral
AACACCUCAAAGACAUUUCUGAUUUAUUUUCUGGAAAGGCCUUUGGACUUGAGCAAUCCCAACACCAGUCCUUUACGGGAUCGGCGGAGGGUUGCUUGAAAUGCAGGUGCAGCUGGACAUUCUCCUGAGCUAUAAGCAUAUCUAUUUAGUCCCGUCAAACGGAUUAUUACUUUUGCUGCAGCUAACAUAAAGGGAGUCUGACCGUAUUGGCUGACUGAUGCAGGAUUUCACAGGGGUUGGAAACGACUCUUGUAAA